Molecule: ribosomal RNA, 1315 nt
Filed under: Lophiotrema vagabundum
Lineage: Eukaryota; Fungi; Ascomycota; Dothideomycetes; Pleosporales; Lophiotremataceae
Description: eukaryotic LSU rRNA
Rfam family: Eukaryotic large subunit ribosomal RNA
Source: RNAcentral
AUUGCCCCAGUAACGGCGAGUGAAGCGGCAAGAGCUCAAAUUUGAAAUCUGGCCCUCUCAGGGCCCGAGUUGUAAUUUGUAGAGGGCGCUUUGGCGUUGGCCCCGGCCUAAGUUCCUUGGAACAGGACGUCACAGAGGGUGAGAACCCCGUACGUGGCCGCCGGCCUCCGCCGUGUAAAGCCCCUUCGACGAGUCGAGUUGUUUGGGAAUGCAGCUCUAAAUGGGAGGUAAAUUUCUUCUAAAGCUAAAUACUGGCCAGAGACCGAUAGCGCACAAGUAGAGUGAUCGAAAGAUGAAAAGCACUUUGGAAAGAGAGUCAAAAAGCACGUGAAAUUGUUGAAAGGGAAGCGCUUGCAGCCAGACUUGCCUGUAGUUGUUCAUCCGAUGUCUUCAUCGGUGCACUCUUCUGCGGGCAGGCCAGCAUCAGUCCGGGCGGUCGGAUAAAGGCCUCGGGAAUGUAGCUCCCCUCGGGGAGUGUUAUAGCCCGGGGUGCCAUGCGACCAGCCUGGACUGAGGUCCGCGCAUCUGCUAGGAUGCUGGCGUAAUGGCUGUAAGCGGCCCGUCUUGAAACACGGACCAAGGAGUCUAACAUCUAUGCGAGUGUUUGGGUGUCAAGCCCGGGCGCGCAAUGAAAGUGAACGGAGGUGGGAACCCCUCGGGGCGCACCAUCGACCGAUCCUGAUGUCUUCGGAUGGAUUUGAGUAAGAGCAUAGCUGUUGGGACCCGAAAGAUGGUGAACUAUGCCUGAAUAGGGUGAAGCCAGAGGAAACUCUGGUGGAGGCUCGCAGCGGUUCUGACGUGCAAAUCGAUCGUCAAAUUUGGGCAUAGGGGCGAAAGACUAAUCGAACUAUCUAGUAGCUGGUUCCUGCCGAAGUUUCCCUCAGGAUAGCAGUAACGUUUUCAGUUUUAUGAGGUAAAGCGAAUGAUUAGAGGCAUGGGGGUUGAAACAACCUUCACCUAUUCUCAAACUUUAAAUAUGUAAGAAGUCCUUGUUACUUAGUUGAACGUGGACAUUUGAAUGCACCGUUACUAGUGGGCCAUUUUUGGUAAGCAGAACUGGCGAUGCGGGAUGAACCGAACGCGGGGUUAAGGUGCCAGAAUGCACGCUCAUCAGACACCACAAAAGGUGUUAGUUCAUCUAGACAGCAGGACGGUGGCCAUGGAAGUCGGAAUCCGCUAAGGAGUGUGUAACAACUCACCUGCCGAAUGAACUAGCCCUGAAAAUGGAUGGCGCUCAAGCGUGCUACCCAUACCCCGCCGCCGGGGCAGAAUUUACGCCCCGGCGAGUAGGCAGGCGUGGAGGCUCGUGACGAAG